CAAGCCCAAAAUACUUCCUGGAAAGAAAUGAGAAAAGAUAUCCCCCCAUCAAAGAAUGGGGUGGGGCAAGAAAGGUGAAAUGACCCUGUUAAAACAAAUGUAGAUGCCAAACAGUCUGACCAGGCACUGGAGGUUGAAGGUGUUAGAGAUGUUACAUGAGUGGGAGGAAGCUGGGACAUCAAUACUAAUAAGAGAGGGCAAGAGAGUUAUGAUCUGGACACACUGUUCACCACUGUGUUUACUGAAGACUGGCAUUGGCUCUGGCCUUUUGGAAGUUGUGUGAAGCUGUUUUAAAUGAAUUAAUUAAAAUAAUAGUUAAUAUGACUGGAACCUUACUAGGAGGUAGUCCCUUUUGUUAUGUUUUACAUGGAUCACUUCAUUUAUUACCUGAAAUCUUAAUGUCCAGGAACUGCUAUUACACCUCUUUCCCAGAUGAGGAAAC
Molecule: long non-coding RNA, 442 nt
Filed under: Cavia porcellus (domestic guinea pig)
Lineage: Eukaryota; Metazoa; Chordata; Mammalia; Rodentia; Caviidae
Description: lncRNA (ENSCPOG00000034541.1)
Source: RNAcentral